Molecule: ribosomal RNA, 777 nt
Filed under: uncultured Neocallimastigales
Lineage: Eukaryota; Fungi; Neocallimastigomycota; Neocallimastigomycetes; Neocallimastigales
Description: partial large subunit ribosomal RNA
Rfam family: Eukaryotic large subunit ribosomal RNA
Source: RNAcentral
UAUCUCUGUAGAGUCUGCAUAUCAAUAAGCGGAGGAAAAGAAACUAACUAGGAUUCCCUUAGUAACGGCGAGUGAAGCGGGAAGAGCUCAAAUUUGAAAUCUUCAAGGUUCUACCUUGACGAAUUGUAGUUUAAAGAAGUGUUUUCUGUUGGAGUUUUGGUAAAAGUUCUUUGGAAUAGGACAUCAUGGAGGGUGAGAAUCCCGUAUUUGACCAUUUCUUCCAGCUGUGUGAUACACUUUCAAAGAGUCGGAUUGUUUGGGAAUGCAGUCCAAAAUGGGUGGUAAAUUUCAUCUAAAGCUAAAUAUUGGCGAGAGACCGAUAGCGAACAAGUACCGUGAGGGAAAGAUGAAAAGGACUUUGAAAAGAGAGUUAGACAGUACGUGAAAUUGUCAAAAGGGAAGCGUUUGACACCAGUGUUGUUUUUCUCGAAAAUCAAUUAAAAUGGCAGUUAUUUUGAGUUGUAUGACUUCAUCAGCUUGCUGCACUUUCUUUAUGUACUUUCUUAAUGCACUUUUCGUUUAACAAGUCAACAUCAAUUUCUUUUGUUGUAAAAGGGUCAUUGGAAGGUGGCUUUCUUUUCGGAGAAAGUGUUUAUAGCCUUGUGCCUCUGCAAUCGGAGAGAUUGAGGUCUGCAGCGUAGAUCCUUCGGGGUUAGAUACGUUUGUGCUAAGUUAUAGCUUUGUCAUAGACAACAUGUUGACUAUGUUUAGUCUUGUAGCUUACUCGCGGAUAGCUAUUUUACCUACGCUUAGGAUGUUGAGUAGCGACAUACGCAC